This 2459-nucleotide ribosomal RNA is filed under the name Salmonella enterica. RNAcentral describes it as "bacterial LSU rRNA". It matches the Rfam family "Bacterial large subunit ribosomal RNA", at positions 490 to 2925 of the family's 2925-position model. Lineage: Bacteria; Pseudomonadati; Pseudomonadota; Gammaproteobacteria; Enterobacterales; Enterobacteriaceae. The record is from RNAcentral.
GUGAACCAGUACCGUGAGGGAAAGGCGAAAAGAACCCCGGCGAGGGGAGUGAAAAAGAACCUGAAACCGUGUACGUACAAGCAGUGGGAGCACAGGUUUACCUGUGUGACUGCGUACCUUUUGUAUAAUGGGUCAGCGACUUAUAUUCUGUAGCAAGGUUAACCGUAUAGGGGAGCCGUAGGGAAACCGAGUCUUAACCGGGCGUUAAGUUGCAGGGUAUAGACCCGAAACCCGGUGAUCUAGCCAUGGGCAGGUUGAAGGUUGGGUAACACUAACUGGAGGACCGAACCGACUAAUGUUGAAAAAUUAGCGGAUGACCUGUGGCUGGGGGUGAAAGGCCAAUCAAACCGGGAGAUAGCUGGUUCUCCCCGAAAGCUAUUUAGGUAGCGCCUCGUGAAUUCAUCUCCGGGGGUAGAGCACUGUUUCGGCUAGGGGGCCAUCCCGGCUUACCAACCCGAUGCAAACUGCGAAUACCGGAGAAUGUUAUCACGGGAGACACACGGCGGGUGCUAACGUCCGUCGUGAAGAGGGAAACAACCCAGACCGCCAGCUAAGGUCCCAAAGUCAUGGUUAAGUGGGAAACGAUGUGGGAAGGCCCAGACAGCCAGGAUGUUGGCUUAGAAGCAGCCAUCAUUUAAAGAAAGCGUAAUAGCUCACUGGUCGAGUCGGCCUGCGCGGAAGAUGUAACGGGGCUAAACCAUGCACCGAAGCUGCGGCAGCGACGCUGAUGCGUUGUUGGGUAGGGGAGCGUUCUGUAAGCCUGUGAAGGUGGCCUGUGAGGGUUGCUGGAGGUAUCAGAAGUGCGAAUGCUGACAUAAGUAACGAUAAAGCGGGUGAAAAGCCCGCUCGCCGGAAGACCAAGGGUUCCUGUCCAACGUUAAUCGGGGCAGGGUGAGUCGACCCCUAAGGCGAGGCCGAAAGGCGUAGUCGAUGGGAAACGGGUUAAUAUUCCCGUACUUGGUGUUACUGCGAAGGGGGGACGGAGAAGGCUAUGUUGGCCGGGCGACGGUUGUCCCGGUUUAAGCGUGUAGGUGUGUGUUCCAGGUAAAUCCGGUUCACUUUAACACUGAGGCGUGAUGACGAGGCACUACGGUGCUGAAGCAACAAAUGCCCUGCUUCCAGGAAAAGCCUCUAAGCAUCAGGUAACAUCAAAUCGUACCCCAAACCGACACAGGUGGUCAGGUAGAGAAUACCAAGGCGCUUGAGAGAACUCGGGUGAAGGAACUAGGCAAAAUGGUGCCGUAACUUCGGGAGAAGGCACGCUGACACGUAGGUGAAGUGAUUUACUCAUGGAGCUGAAGUCAGUCGAAGAUACCAGCUGGCUGCAACUGUUUAUUAAAAACACAGCACUGUGCAAACACGAAAGUGGACGUAUACGGUGUGACGCCUGCCCGGUGCCGGAAGGUUAAUUGAUGGGGUCAGCGCAAGCGAAGCUCCUGAUCGAAGCCCCGGUAAACGGCGGCCGUAACUAUAACGGUCCUAAGGUAGCGAAAUUCCUUGUCGGGUAAGUUCCGACCUGCACGAAUGGCGUAAUGAUGGCCAGGCUGUCUCCACCCGAGACUCAGUGAAAUUGAACUCGCUGUGAAGAUGCAGUGUACCCGCGGCAAGACGGAAAGACCCCGUGAACCUUUACUAUAGCUUGACACUGAACAUUGAGCCUUGAUGUGUAGGAUAGGUGGGAGGCUUUGAAGCGUGGACGCCAGUCUGCAUGGAGCCGGCCUUGAAAUACCACCCUUUAAUGUUUGAUGUUCUAACGUGGACCCGUGAUCCGGGUUGCGGACAGUGUCUGGUGGGUAGUUUGACUGGGGCGGUCUCCUCCUAAAGAGUAACGGAGGAGCACGAAGGUUGGCUAAUCCUGGUCGGACAUCAGGAGGUUAGUGCAAUGGCAUAAGCCAGCUUGACUGCGAGCGUGACGGCGCGAGCAGGUGCGAAAGCAGGUCAUAGUGAUCCGGUGGUUCUGAAUGGAAGGGCCAUCGCUCAACGGAUAAAAGGUACUCCGGGGAUAACAGGCUGAUACCGCCCAAGAGUUCAUAUCGACGGCGGUGUUUGGCACCUCGAUGUCGGCUCAUCACAUCCUGGGGCUGAAGUAGGUCCCAAGGGUAUGGCUGUUCGCCAUUUAAAGUGGUACGCGAGCUGGGUUUAGAACGUCGUGAGACAGUUCGGUCCCUAUCUGCCGUGGGCGCUGGAGAACUGAGGGGGGCUGCUCCUAGUACGAGAGGACCGGAGUGGACGCAUCACUGGUGUUCGGGUUGUCAUGCCAAUGGCACUGCCCGGUAGCUAAAUGCGGAAGAGAUAAGUGCUGAAAGCAUCUAAGCACGAAACUUGCCCCGAGAUGAGUUCUCCCUGAGACUUAGAGUCUCCUGAAGGAACGUUGAAGACGACGACGUUGAUAGGCCGGGUGUGUAAGCGCAGCGAUGCGUUGAGCUAACCGGUACUAAUGAACCGUGAGGCUUAACCUU